This 496-nucleotide ribosomal RNA is filed under the name uncultured bacterium. RNAcentral's name for it is "partial 16S ribosomal RNA". It matches the Rfam family "Bacterial small subunit ribosomal RNA", at positions 29 to 507 of the family's 1533-position model. The record is from RNAcentral.
AUGAACGCUGGCGGCGUGCCUAAUACAUGCAAGUCGCGCGAACAGACGAGGAGCUUGCUCCUCUGACGUUAGCGGCGGACGGGUGAGUAACACGUGGAUAACCUACCUAUAAGACUGGGAUAACUUCGGGAAACCGGAGCUAAUACCGGAUAAUAUAUUGAACCGCAUGGUUCAAUAGUGAAAGACGGUUUUGCUGUCACUUAUAGAUGGAUCCGCGCCGCAUUAGCUAGUUGGUAAGGUAACGGCUUACCAAGGCAACGAUGCGUAGCCGACCUGAGAGGGUGAUCGGCCACACUGGAACUGAGACACGGUCCAGACUCCUACGGGAGGCAGCAGUAGGGAAUCUUCCGCAAUGGGCGAAAGCUUGACGGAGCAACGCCGCGUGAGUGAUGAAGGUCUUCGGAUCGUAAAACUCUGUUAUUAGGGAAGAACAAAUGUGUAAGUAACUAUGCACGUCUUGACGGUACUUAAUCAGAAAGCCACGGCUAACUACGUG